This 941-nucleotide ribosomal RNA is filed under the name Alteromonadales bacterium HOT4F9. Its description in RNAcentral is "bacterial SSU rRNA". It matches the Rfam family "Bacterial small subunit ribosomal RNA", at positions 76 to 1016 of the family's 1533-position model. The record is from RNAcentral. Lineage: Bacteria; Pseudomonadati; Pseudomonadota; Gammaproteobacteria; Alteromonadales.
UAGCUUGCUAAUCGCUGACGAGUGGCGGACGGGUGAGUAAUGCUUGGGAACUUGCCUUCGGGAGGGGGAUAACAGUUGGAAACGACUGCUAAUACCGCAUAACGUCUACGGACCAAAGCGGGCUUCGGCUCGCACCUGAAGAGAGGCCCAAGUGAGAUUAGCUAGUUGGUAAGGUAAAGGCUUACCAAGGCGACGAUCUCUAGCUGUUCUGAGAGGAAGAUCAGCCACACUGGGACUGAGACACGGCCCAGACUCCUACGGGAGGCAGCAGUGGGGAAUAUUGCACAAUGGGGGAAACCCUGAUGCAGCCAUGCCGCGUGUGUGAAGAAGGCCUUCGGGUUGUAAAGCACUUUCAGUUGUGAGGAAAGGUUGGUAGUUAAUACCUGCCAGCUGUGACGUUAACAACAGAAGAAGCACCGGCUAACUCCGUGCCAGCAGCCGCGGUAAUACGGAGGGUGCGAGCGUUAAUCGGAAUUACUGGGCGUAAAGCGCACGCAGGCGGUUUGUUAAGCUAGAUGUGAAAGCCCCGGGCUCAACCUGGGAUGGUCAUUUAGAACUGGCAGACUAGAGUCUUGGAGAGGGGAGUGGAAUUCCAGGUGUAGCGGUGAAAUGCGUAGAUAUCUGGAGGAACAUCAGUGGCGAAGGCGGCUCCCUGGCCAAAGACUGACGCUCAUGUGCGAAAGUGUGGGUAGCGAACAGGAUUAGAUACCCUGGUAGUCCACACCGUAAACGCUGUCUACUAGCUGUUUGUGAAUUUAAUUCGUGAGUAGCGAAGCUAACGCGCUAAGUAGACCGCCUGGGGAGUACGGCCGCAAGGUUAAAACUCAAAUGAAUUGACGGGGGGCCCGCACAAGCGGUGGAGCAUGUGGUUUAAUUCGAUGCAACGCGAAGAACCUUACCUACACUUGACAUGCAGAGAACUUUCCAGAGAUGGAUUGGUG